This 467-nucleotide long non-coding RNA is filed under the name Elaeis guineensis (African oil palm). RNAcentral describes it as "long non-coding RNA (EGUI_LNC069059)". Lineage: Eukaryota; Viridiplantae; Streptophyta; Magnoliopsida; Arecales; Arecaceae. The record is from RNAcentral.
GGACCUCUUUCCUGAACUCCUGUUGCAGGUAGACCUCACCCGAACUCCUACAAGGGCCGGAUUCCGAGCUUCUGCUACAAACGAUCUACUUCAAAUUUAUACCACGAGUGGUCCGUGCUGGAUUCCCACUGUAAGCCUUCACCCGAGCUUCCAUUGUGGACGAAUUCCUUCCGAAUUUCUAUUGCAGACAGGCCUCAGCCGAGAUUCCUCGAUGAAUGAUCCCCAUCCGGGCUUCUACGGAGAUCGAACUUCGAUCGAACUUCUAUAGCGGACAAAUCCCAGGCUCACAAAAUCCAGCAGCUAGACCCCUCCAGUGGAUGAACCUCUCCAGCGCCAUCCGACAUCCGCCGUCGAUCGACCCUCUGCCGAAUUCUGUGCGAAACUGGACUGCAUCUGCGGAAAGCCUCUGACCAAGCUCCUACGGCAAGUGGCCCUCGCCUGCAGCCUCAACGCCCAAGGCACCCAAC